AGUAAAUUAUGUUUUGUUUUCUACAUAUAUGUAAGCAAAUUGUAAUAUAAAUAUUAUAUUGCUACAAUUAUAUAGAACAUCUGAUUUGUUUUAUUCAAGAAUACAACAAAAGUAAUUUAUAUGAAACAUGUUUAAUUUGAAAAGCAGAGGAAGUAUCCGCGCAUACGCGGGAAAGUUAAAGUAACAAAUCAUACUGCUUGAUAGCUACAUUUUCCUUCCUUUAUUACCGCUGGAGACUUCCGGUGCAUUGUGUUCGUACAUUAUUCAGUCACAUAUUUAAGAAUUUUAAUAGAAUGUAUUAAUAAGCAGAUAAAGGAAAAAGUUGCAGAUUAUAAUAAAUAUAAAAGUGAUGUAAAAUAUUAAUUUGUUUUUACUUUCUAUAAUGUGCUGAAUAAAACAGGAACUAUUUCUUGCUGCGUAUGUACGUCAUCAUGAUGAUCAUUCGUGAGUUCCUUUAGGGUCGAACAUUAAGGAAAACUCUAAUUAAUCUUAAUACGUUAUCUUUUUCGAAGAAUUUUUGGAAAAUCUGCUUUAGGACUACCAAGUUUCUUUAUGACGAUGGCAUACCGCGAUCGUGAACGUGGUGACAGGAGAGGCGGAGGUGGUUCUCGAGGAGGACGUUUUGGUGGACGAGAUGGAGGCAGUGGUGGUAGUGGUGGAAGAUUUGGAAGUAGUACGAAUAGAGACAGUAACAGUUUUGGGAAUAAUAAUUUUAAAAAUCGUCAACCUGGAGAACGGUUACGUAAACCUAGAUGGGAUAUGAGCACUUUGCAACCAUUUAGGAAAGACUUUUAUCAACCUCAUCCUAAUGUUACAACAAGAAGUCUUCAUACAGUAGAAGCUUAUCGUUCAGACAAAGAGAUUACAGUGAAAGGAUCUAAUGUCCCUGGACCCAACAUUUAUUUUGAAGAGGGUGGUUUUCCAGAUUAUGUUUUAAAUGAAAUACGCAGGCAAGGUUUUGGAGAACCAACAGCUAUACAAGCGCAAGGUUGGCCUAUUGCUUUGUCUGGACGUGAUAUGGUUGGAAUAGCACAAACAGGAUCUGGGAAAACACUAGCUUAUAUUUUGCCAGCUAUCGUACAUAUCAAUCAUCAACCUAGAUUAAGUAGAAACGAUGGUCCUAUAGCUCUUAUCUUGGCACCUACAAGAGAACUUGCACAGCAAAUACAACAAGUAGCAUCAGACUUUGGGGUUUCUUCACAGGUUAGGAAUACUUGCAUUUUUGGUGGGGCACCUAAAGGUCCACAGGCACGAGAUCUGGAAAGAGGAGUUGAAAUUUGUAUAGCAACCCCUGGUCGUCUCAUAGAUUUUUUGGAACGUGGUACCACAAAUCUUCGUAGAUGUACAUAUUUGGUAUUAGAUGAAGCAGACAGAAUGCUCGAUAUGGGCUUCGAACCCCAAAUCAGAAAAAUUGUAGAACAAAUACGACCAGAUAGGCAAACACUUAUGUGGUCAGCAACGUGGCCAAAGGAAGUUCGUAAUUUGGCUGAAGAAUUUUUAACUGAUUAUAUACAAAUUAAUAUUGGCUCCUUACAAUUAGCAGCUAAUCAUAAUAUCCUUCAAAUAGUGGAUGUAUGUGAAGAAUAUGAAAAGGAAAGUAAAUUAAUGAAACUCCUGGAAGAGAUUUCUAAUGAACCAGAAAAUAAAACUAUAAUUUUUGUUGAAACAAAAAGAAAAGUGGAUGACAUUACACGAGCUAUUAAUAGAUACGGAUGGCAAGCAAUUGGCAUCCAUGGAGAUAAGAGUCAACAAGAAAGAGAUUAUGUAUUAAAUCAAUUCCGGAAUAGCAGAUCUGCAAUACUAGUUGCUACGGACGUUGCAGCAAGAGGUUUAGCAAAUAACAAAAAGAAAUCCUUGAUGCUAAACAUGCAAUGGAGUAUACAUGGAAUUGAGUGGAGUGCGCAUAUGGUGCUCAUCCAAUGUUCAAACUUUACCGAAGCAAUGCACAAGGACCAAAUUUUCAAAGACCAGCACAGAUCCAUACUUUGGUGCGGGAGAGAAGGGUGUGAAGUUACUAAGAAUAAAUGUAGAGCUCGCUCACUCAUUAAGCGAGAAUUCUAUGAGAACCAUCUGAGCUCUGAUUCCUCUACAUUUCCAAAAAUGUAUUUACAUUUCCAGCUUUAGACGCAAACAGAUGUGGAAGAUGUCAAAUUUGUGAUAAACUUGGAUUAUCCAUCCAACUCUGAAGACUAUGUACAUCGUAUUGGACGUACGGGACGAUCGCAACGAACAGGAACUGCGUAUGCUUUUUUUACACCUGGAAAUGCGCAUAAAGCUAGCGACCUAAUUCAAGUGUUAGAAGAAGCAAAGCAAGUUGUUAAUCCUAAACUUUAUGAACUUUCGAGAAAUCCCGGCAUUUAUAAACGUGGUCGUUACAGUGGUCGUAAUGGCGGAAAUGGUAGCCGAGGAUCCGGUGGCCGUGGUGGAGGUGGUUCACGAGGAUCACGUGGUGGUGGGCGUGAUGGAGGUGACAGAAGUGGGAGAUUUGAUCGUAGUGGUGGUAGUGGCAGUGGCGGUGGUGGUGGAAGCGAUCGUGGAAAUAAAUGGGGUGGAAGUAAUAGCGGUGGUAUGGGAGGAGGUGGUUAUGGCAGUAAAUCAUUUCCUCAGAGUAACUUUGGAGGAACUUCCAGUGGUAGUGGCUCUAGUUAUAGUCAAAA
Molecule: unclassified non-coding RNA, 2657 nt
Filed under: Polistes canadensis
Lineage: Eukaryota; Metazoa; Arthropoda; Insecta; Hymenoptera; Vespidae
Description: aTP-dependent RNA helicase dbp2-like, transcript variant X2
Source: RNAcentral